RNAcentral lists this long non-coding RNA (359 nucleotides) under Ananas comosus (pineapple). RNAcentral's name for it is "long non-coding RNA (ACOM_LNC035235)". The record is from RNAcentral. Lineage: Eukaryota; Viridiplantae; Streptophyta; Magnoliopsida; Poales; Bromeliaceae.
AUAUACUAGUGUAGGAAUCCGCGCGAUGCGGCGGGUAAAAAUUAUAAUAAACUAUAUAUUAAAUAUACAAAUAAAAAAAAUAUAUAGCAGAAAAUAAUCAAUAUUUUAUUAGUUAAUAAUAUAAAAAAUAAUUUGAAAUUUUUUUAGAAUGAAAAUAUAAUCCAAUGGAGAACAAAGAAAGAAAACAAAACAAAAACUAUAAAAGAAUAAAAAUUGUUGCAUAGAUAGAAAUUAAAAAAAAAAAACAUAAUUUAUUGCAAGAAUAAAAGGGAACGAAAAAAUAAAAAUUAGAGGUGAUUUCGUUAGGGUUGGUUUUAUUACUCAAUGAAUUAUAAUAGGUUCCGGUUGAGGAUCAAAAU